CGUAGGGGGCUAGCGUUGUCCGGAUUUAUUGGGCGUAAAGCGCGUGUAGGCGGCCAGAUAGGUCUGCUGUGAAAACUCGAGGCUCAACCUCGAGCUGUCGGCGGAAACCAUCCGGCUAGAGUCCGGAAGAGGAGAGUGGAAUUCCCGGUGUAGCGGUGAAAUGCGCAGAUAUCGGGAAGAACACCUGUGGCGAAGGCGGCUCUCUGGGACGGUACUGACGCUGAGACGCGAAAGCGUGGGGAGCAAACAGGAUUAGAUACCCUGGUAGUCCACGCCGUAAACGAUGGGUGCUAGGUGUGGGGAGUGUCGACUCUCUCCGUGCCGAAGCUAACGCAUUAAGCACCCCGCCUGGGGAGUACGGCCGCAAGGCUA
This 372-nucleotide ribosomal RNA is filed under the name uncultured organism. RNAcentral's name for it is "bacterial SSU rRNA". It matches the Rfam family "Bacterial small subunit ribosomal RNA", at positions 526 to 896 of the family's 1533-position model. The record is from RNAcentral.